AUCUAGUUGAUUCGUGACGGUUCCCAGCGACGAAAACCGCCGGGAUUAAAAGGGAACACGGUGAGGACGACCCGAUCGGGGCCAAAUCCGUGGCUGCCCCCGCAACUGUAAGCGGAUGCCGCUCAUCCUCGUGACGCACUGUCUGAUCAGUGUGUCGUGCCACUGCGCAAGGGUUCGCCCCGCGUGGGAAGGCAGAUGAAAGGUGUCAAAUCCGCGAGCCAGGAGACCUGCCGCCGCAACGAAAUCCGU
This 249-nucleotide non-coding RNA is filed under the name Hyphomicrobiales bacterium. The record is from RNAcentral. Lineage: Bacteria; Pseudomonadati; Pseudomonadota; Alphaproteobacteria; Hyphomicrobiales.